Molecule: long non-coding RNA, 1091 nt
Organism: Populus trichocarpa (black cottonwood)
Lineage: Eukaryota; Viridiplantae; Streptophyta; Magnoliopsida; Malpighiales; Salicaceae
Exons: 2
Source: RefSeq, a predicted model, not a curated record
GGUCGAGGACCAGAGCAGUAUCGAUACCCUAUCCAAAUUCCAAACCUGAUUUUUUCACUUCAAAUAUUAUCCAACCCGAUCUAACAAAAAAAAAAUAAAAAAAUCAUUCCGGUAAAUUCAGGUAGGUCUUCACGGGUGAAAUUGUCAUCGCCAAAAUAGAGCUGUUACAACUUGAGGGAAAUAUUGUUUUAUUAUGAAGGGAAAGACGUCGUUUUUGGCGGUCAUCACACUCAACAUUAGGAGGCGGUAAACCGCCAUUGAAGUAGAUAGAGUUUCAUUGACCAGGCAUCAGGUGCUCUCUCUCUCUCGUAGAUUUUUUUUUCAACAAGUUAAUUCCAUGUGUUUAGAUUUGCGUUAUAGGAGUUCUUUUGAACAAGUUCCAUGUGUUUAGAUUUGCAGGGCAGUUUUUCUUGUUUCCUGGGUGUUGAGGAAGCAUGUUGUGUUGUGUUUUUUGACCAUUGCAUAAUAUGCUUGUCAUGUAACAGUUGAUACUCUAGGAAGCUCGAAGGUUAAGGAGUUCGAGAGACCCAUGAGACUAGCUGCAUUGUCUACUUACUGUAAUAUGCUUGAUAUAGACAGUUUUAGUGAACUUUCUUUUAGCAUAACAUAAUUUUCCUGUUUUGAAUUAACCAAGUUUCCUUUAAUUUCACUUUUUACUAAGAACUUGAUGCAACCAUGAAAUGACUGCCUUUCUAGGAAGCAUAGCCUCUUGCUUUGCACUUCCUGAGGGUUAGUUGCUCUGCCUAUAGAUUAUGCUCUGGGUGCUACCAUAUGUUCUUCUGUAUGAUAAUUUCUGUAGUAUUGCAUGUCAAACAAUAGAAAAAUUUGAUCAGAGACAAUCGUUCGUUUUAUUUUGGCUGUUGUAUUAGGAAGAAAACUGUUUGAGCUUGGACAGUAGUAUUUCAAGAAGCUUGGUUAGUACUCGUUCCUGGAUUUGUACACAAAUGCCAAAUUUUUAAGUGUGUCCGCAGCUUUUAUUGAAUCUAUCUGCUAUGAAUAGAGAUGGCAUGUACCUUGUAAAUUUGGGGAAUAUUUGAGAUCCGAAAAAGAUUCAUUUUAUGGCAAUUAUAGAGAUGCAAGAAGCUUUGUCA